Molecule: ribosomal RNA, 459 nt
Filed under: uncultured bacterium
Lineage: Bacteria
Description: partial 16S ribosomal RNA
Rfam family: Bacterial small subunit ribosomal RNA
Source: RNAcentral
CCUACGGGUGGCAGCAGUGAGGAAUAUUGGUCAAUGGGCGGGAGCCUGAACCAGCCAAGUCGCGUGAGGGACGACGGUCCUAUGGAUUGUAAACCUCUUUUGUCGGGGAACAAAGGCGCCCACGGGUGGGCGGAUGAGUGUACCCGAAGAAAAAGCAUCGGCUAACUCCGUGCCAGCAGCCGCGGUAAUACGGAGGAUGCGAGCGUUAUCCGGAUUUAUUGGGCGUAAAACGAGCGCAGGCGGGUUAACAAGUUUGGUAUGAAAGGCUUUUGCUUAACGAAAGUUUGUAUCAAAAACUGUUAAUCGAGAGUGUAGUAGAGAGUUCUGGAAUUCCAUGUGGAGCGGUGGAAUGCGUAGAUAUAUGGAAGAACACCAGUGGCGAAGGCGAGAACUUAGACUAUCACUGACGCUUAGGCUCGAAAGUGUGGGGAGCAAAUAGGAUUAGAUACCCUUGUAGUC